Molecule: ribosomal RNA, 2077 nt
Filed under: Dyadobacter soli
Lineage: Bacteria; Pseudomonadati; Bacteroidota; Cytophagia; Cytophagales; Spirosomataceae
Description: bacterial LSU rRNA
Rfam family: Bacterial large subunit ribosomal RNA
Source: RNAcentral
CGCGCAAGCGAAUUAAGGGCGCAUGGGGGAUACCUAGGCUCUCAGAGGCGAUGAAGGACGUGAUAAGCUGCGAAAAGCUAUGGGGAGCAGCACAUAUGCAUUGAUCCAUAGAUAUCCGAAUGGGGCAACCCAGUGUAGUGAAGCUACAUUACCCUACGGGGGGCAAACGCGGGGAACUGAAACAUCUAAGUACCCGCAGGAGAAGAAAACAAUAGUGAUUCCGUAAGUAGUGGCGAGCGAACACGGAACAGCCCAAACCACCCUGGUUACGGCCAGAGUGGGGUUGUAGGGCCCACCAAGUGGUUAAAUAGCGAACUGGAAUGGCAUGGGAAGGCCAAUCGCAGAGGGUGAGAAUCCCGUACAGGCAGCGAGUUUAACUGAGUGGGUACCCUGAGUAGGUGGGGACCGGUGAAAUCCCCUCUGAAUCCGGCGGCACCAUCCGCCAAGGCUAAAUACUCCUGAGAGACCGAUAGUGAACGAGUACCGUGAGGGAAAGGUGAAAAGUACCGCGAGCAGCGGGGUGAAAUAGAACUUGAAACCAUGCGCUUACAAGCGGUCGGAGCCUUCGGGUGACGGCGUGCCUUUUGCAUAAUGAGCCUACGAGUUACGGUUACUGGCAAGGUUAAUGUUUGAAGAACAGGAGCCGAAGCGAAAGCGAGUCUGAAUAGGGCGAUUAGUCAGUGGCCGUAGACGCGAAACUUUGUGAUCUACCCAUGAUCAGGUUGAAGCGCUGGUAACACAUCGUGGAGGACCGAACCGGUAAACGUUGAAAAGUUUUCGGAUGAAUUGUGGGUAGGGGUGAAAGGCCAAUCAAACUGAGAAAUAGCUCGUACUCCCCGAAAUGUUUUUAGGAACAGCGUCGUGGUUGAGUCAUGUUCAGGUAGAGCUACUGAUAGGACUAGGGGGAGUCAAAUCCUACCAAAUUCUGACAAACUCCGAAUGGGGCAUGAUAUACACGGCAGUGAGGGCUGGGGUGCUAAGGUCCCAGUCCGAGAGGGGAACAACCCAGAGCAUCAGCUAAGGUCCCAAAAUAUAUGCUAAGUUGAACUAAGGGGGUCCGACUGCAGAGACAGCCAGGAUGUUAGCUUGGAAGCAGCUAUACAUUUAAAGAGUGCGUAACAGCUCACUGGUCGAGCGGGGCGGGCAUCGAUAAUAAACGGGCAUCAAGCAUAUUACCGAAGCUAUGCGAUUGUAUUUAUACAUAUCGGUAGGGGAGCAUUCUCACAGGGGUGAAGGUUGGGCGUGAGCCCAGCUGGACUGGUGAGAAAAGCAAAUGUAGGCAUAAGUAACGAUAAUGCGGAUGAGAAAUCCGCACACCGAAAGACUAAGGAUUCCUCCGCUAUGCUAAUCAACGGAGGGUUAGGCGGGGCCUAAGGGAUAGCCGACAGGCGACCCCCGAUGGACAGCAGGUUAAUAUUCCUGCCCCUGCAUGCAGUGUGAAAAAGUGACGGAGCGACGUGGAUGGUACGUACUGACGGAAUAGUGCGUUGAGCCGAGCCUACGGGCAAAGCGAACCAUCGAAGACGCUUCCAAGAAAAGCUUUUGAAACGCCAGCUGUAUGCAGCCCGUACCGUAAACCGACACAGGUAGUCGAGAAGAAUAUUCUAAGGUGCUCGAGUGAAUCACGGCUAAGGAACUCGGCAAAUUAACCCUGUAACUUCGGGAGAAGGGGAGCCUCCUCUGCAAAGAGAGGCCGCAGAGAAAUGGCCCAGGCGACUGUUUAGCAAAAACACAGGGCUCUGCCAAAACGAAAGUUGACGUAUAGGGCCUGACACCUGCCCGGUGCUGGAAGGUUAAGAGGGGAUGUCAUCGCAAGAGAAGCAUUGAAUCGAAGCCCCAGUAAACGGCGGCCGUAACUAUAACGGUCCUAAGGUAGCGAAAUUCCUUGUCGGGUAAGUUCCGACCUGCACGAAUGGUGUAACGAUCUGGGCACUGUCUCGGCCGUGAGCUCGGUGAAAUUGUAGUAGCGGUGAAGAUGCCGCUUACCCGCCACGGGACGGAAAGACCCCGUGCACCUUUACUAUAGCUUUGCAUUGUUUUCGGGUCAGGGAUGUGUAGGAUAGGUGGGAGGCUGUGA